This 482-nucleotide ribosomal RNA is filed under the name uncultured bacterium. RNAcentral describes it as "bacterial SSU rRNA". It matches the Rfam family "Bacterial small subunit ribosomal RNA", at positions 30 to 507 of the family's 1533-position model. The record is from RNAcentral.
AUUGAACGCUGGCGGCAUGCCUUACACAUGCAAGUCGAACGGUAACAGGUCUUCGGAUGCUGACGAGUGGCGAACGGGUGAGUAAUACAUCGGAACGUGCCCGAUCGUGGGGGAUAACGGAGCGAAAGCUUUGCUAAUACCGCAUACGAUCUACGGAUGAAAGCAGGGGACCGCAAGGCCUUGCGCGGACGGAGCGGCCGAUGGCGGAUUAGGUAGUUGGUGGGAUAAAAGCUUACCAAGCCGACGAUCUGUAGCUGGUCUGAGAGGACGACCAGCCACACUGGGACUGAGACACGGCCCAGACUCCUACGGGAGGCAGCAGUGGGGAAUUUUGGACAAUGGGCGCAAGCCUGAUCCAGCCAUGCCGCGUGCAGGAUGAAGGCCUUCGGGUUGUAAACUGCUUUUGUACGGAACGAAAAGACUCUUUCUAAUAAAGAGGGUCCAUGACGGUACCGUAAGAAUAAGCACCGGCUAACUACGUG